ACUCCUACGGAAGGCAGCAGUGAGGAAUAUUGCCCAAUGGGGGGAAACCCCUGAGGCAGCAACGCCGCGUGGAGGAAGAAGGUCUUUACGAUCGUAAACUUCUUUUGUGAGGGAAGAGGAAGGACGGUACCUCAUGAAUAAGUCACGGCUAACUACGUGCCAGCAGCCGCGGUAAU
RNAcentral lists this ribosomal RNA (176 nucleotides) under uncultured bacterium. RNAcentral's name for it is "partial 16S ribosomal RNA". It matches the Rfam family "Bacterial small subunit ribosomal RNA", at positions 335 to 524 of the family's 1533-position model. The record is from RNAcentral.